RNAcentral lists this non-coding RNA (105 nucleotides) under Schwartzia succinivorans. RNAcentral's name for it is "SAM-I sequence". It matches the Rfam family "SAM riboswitch aptamer (S box leader)". From Rfam's summary of the family: The SAM riboswitch is found upstream of a number of genes which code for proteins involved in methionine or cysteine biosynthesis in Gram-positive bacteria. The SAM riboswitch acts at the level of transcription termination control. The predicted structure consists of a complex stem-loop region followed by a single stem loop terminator region. The record is from RNAcentral. RNAcentral also lists the same sequence under 1 other name. Lineage: Bacteria; Bacillati; Bacillota; Negativicutes; Selenomonadales; Selenomonadaceae.
AACUCAUCCAGAGCAGCAGAGGGACUGGCCCGAUGAAGCUGCGGCAACCAUUGAUUAUUUCAAAACGGUGCCAAUUCCUUUAGGCAGAUACCUAAAAGAUGAGAG